RNAcentral lists this long non-coding RNA (660 nucleotides) under Piliocolobus tephrosceles (Ugandan red Colobus). RNAcentral's name for it is "lncRNA (ENSPTEG00000011472.1)". Lineage: Eukaryota; Metazoa; Chordata; Mammalia; Primates; Cercopithecidae. The record is from RNAcentral.
UUGACUUUGAAAGGAAAAGGGAACUGAGAGAGCCCCCAGAUGCCUGAGUAGGAGAGACAGGGGACGGAGGUUGCCAAGCACUGGCUGCCACUUGUCAGGUUCCUUGUGUUAGACAUGUAUAAUCUGUAUUCCAUCACUGGGUACCCGGACCCACCAGGUAAGGCCCUGGCCAGGCUGGGGCUGGGGCCCAGGUGUGAUCAGGACCCAGGGUACAGAAUCCCCACCAUGGGGCAGCUGAGGCAGAGACCAGGGCUUGAGGGAUGUAGGGAGGAGGGAAUGGCUGGGCGCUGACUUGCCUUUCCCCGGAAGGGACCAUGGAGGAGGAGGAGGAGGAGGAAGAGGAGCAGGAGGAGGACUAUGAGAACAUGGCACCUCCCUACAAGGACCUUCCUCCCAAGCCAGAUGCCCAAUCAUCCCUUUGGAGAGGCUCACAUGGCAAGGAACUGAGGCCUCCCACCAACAGCCAUGUGAGUGUAUCAUCUUGGAAGCAGAUCCUCUAGCCCCAGUCAAGCCUGCAGAUAGAUGACUUGCAGUCCCAGGCAACAUCUUGACUACAAUCACACAAGAGAUCUCAAGCUAGAACUACCCAGCUAAGCUGCUUUCAGAUUCCUGAACCACAGAAACUGUGAGAUAAUAAAUGCUUAUGGUUGUUUAAAGUCA